GGACAGAUUUAGAGCUUGCUUUAAAUCUGUUAGUGGCGGACGGGUGAGUAACGCGUGGGUAACCUGCCUUAAACAGAGGGAUGGCAAGUGGAAACGCUUGGUAAUACCACAUAAAGCCUAAGCAUUGCAUAAUGAAUAGGUGAAAGGAGGAAUCCGGUUUAAGAUGGGCCCGCGUCCAAUUAGCUAGUUGGUGAGGUAAGAGCGCACCAAGGCGACGAUUGGUAGCCGAACUGAGAGGUUGAGCGGCCACAUUGGGACUGAGAUACGGCCCAGACUCCUACGGGAGGCAGCAGUGGGGAAUAUUGCGCAAUGGGGGGAACCCUGACGCAGCGACGCCGCGUGAAGGAAGAAGGUCUUCGGAUUGUAAACUUCUUUGAUUAGGGAAGAGGAAGGACGGUACCUAAAGAACAAGCCACGGCUAACUGCGUGCCAGCAGCCGCGGUAAUACGUAGGUGGCAAGCGUUGUCCGGAAUUACUGGGUGUAAAGGGCGAGUAGGUGGAUCACUAAGUCAGAGGUGAAAACCCAUGGCUAAACUGUGGGAUAGCAACUGAAACUAGAGAUCUUGAGUACUGGAGAGGGAAGCGGAAUUCCUAGUGUAGCGGUGAAAUGCGUAGAUAUUAGGAGGAACACCAGUGGCGAAGGCGGCUUCCUGGACAGAGACUGACACUGAGGCGCGAAAGCGUGGGGAGCGAACAGGAUUAGAUACCCUGGUAGUCCACGCUGUAAACGAUGGAUACUAGGUGUAGGUGGUAAGAAACCAUCUGUGCCGGAGUAAACACAAUAAGUAUCCCACCUGGGGAGUACAGCCGCAAGGUUGAAACUCAAAGGAAUUGACGGGGGCCCGCACAAGCAGUGGAGUAUGUGGUUUAAUUCGAAGCAACGCGAAGAACCUUACCAGGGCUUGACAUCCCUUGAACUAUCUAGAGAUAGGUAGGGCCUACGGGACAAGGAGACAGGUGGUGCAUGGUUGUCGUCAGCUCGUGUCGUGAGAUGUUGGGUUAAGUCCCGCAACGAGCGCAACCCU
Molecule: ribosomal RNA, 1025 nt
Filed under: uncultured organism
Description: bacterial SSU rRNA
Rfam family: Bacterial small subunit ribosomal RNA
Source: RNAcentral